RNAcentral lists this ribosomal RNA (807 nucleotides) under uncultured bacterium. RNAcentral's name for it is "bacterial SSU rRNA". It matches the Rfam family "Bacterial small subunit ribosomal RNA", at positions 11 to 797 of the family's 1533-position model. The record is from RNAcentral.
GUUUGAUCCUGGCUCAGGAUGAACGCUGGUGGCAUGCCUAAUACAUGCAAGUCGAACGAGGUUUAAUAGCUAGCUUGCUAGUUGCUAAACCUAGUGGCGAACGGGUGAGUAACACGUGGGUAACCUGCCCUUCAGUUGGGAAUACCUAGAGGAAACUUUAGUUAAUACCGAAUACGUACGAGAGAGGCAUCUCUUUCGUAUAAAAGAAGCGAUUGCUUCGCUGAUGGAUGGACCCGCGUCGCAUUAGCUAGUUGGUGAGGUAACGGCUCACCAAGGCUCGGAUGCGUAGCCGACCUGAGAGGGUGAUCGGCCACAAUGGGACUGAGAUACGGCCCAAACUCCUACGGGAGGCAGCAGUAGGGAAUUUUCGGCAAUGGGGGGAACCCUGACCGAGCAAUGCCGCGUGAUUGAAGAAGAUCUUCGGAUCGUAAAGAUCUGUUAUUAGGGAAGAAUGGAAUUGAUAGGAAAUGAUCAAUUUAUGACGGUGCCUAAUGAGGAAGCCCCGGCUAACUAUGUGCCAGCAGCCGCGGUAAUACAUAGGGGGCGAGCGUUAUCCGGAAUUAUUGGGCGUAAAGGGUACGUAGGCGGGCCUGCAAGUCUGAUUUGAAAGCACACGGCUUAACCGUGUGAGGUAAUUAGAAACUACAGGUCUAGAGAGUGGUAGAGGUAAAUGGAAUUCCAAGUGGAGCGGUGAAAUGCGUAGAGAUUUGGAGGAACACCAGUGGCGAAGGCGGUUUACUGGGCCACAUCUGACGCUGAUGUACGAAAGCGUGGGGAGCAAACAGGAUUAGAUACCCUGGUAGUCCA